This 570-nucleotide long non-coding RNA is filed under the name Homo sapiens (human). RNAcentral describes it as "HSALNT0221290". The record is from RNAcentral. Lineage: Eukaryota; Metazoa; Chordata; Mammalia; Primates; Hominidae.
CUGUGACUAUAUAUAUUUUCACUUCAGCCAUACACUAAAUUGGGCAUUAGGUUUGGGUUUUUAAAUAUUUGAUACUUAAAAAUUAAUAAAAAUUGGUGAAUAUUAAAUAUUUAAUGUAUAUAAGUAUAUAGAAUAAUACAAUUGUAUACACAGAAUAGUGGCCCCCAAAGACAUCAGUGGCCUAAUCCUCAGAACCUUUAGUUACAUGGCAAGUGGAAUAAAGGUUGCUGAUUAGCUGAUUUAAUCUAGAAGGAGUAUCCUGGAUUAUCUGUGUAGGCCCAGUGGAAUCACAAGGGUUCUUGAAAGUGGAAGAGGAAGACAGAAGAGCGAGAAGGAGAUGUGGUAAUGGAAGGUCUGAGAGGUGCUAUGUUGAUGGCUUGUAGAUGGAAGAGGGCCAUGAGCCAAGGAAUGUGGGCAGCGUCUAGAAGCUGGAAAAGGCAAGGAAAUGGACUCCCUCCUGGAUCUCCCAAAGAGGGACACAGCCCUGCCAACAUCUCAACUUUAGCCCAAUAAGACCUGGCUCAGACUUCUGUCCAGAACUUUAUUAAAGUGCUUGUGGCUCAUUCUCAA